UCAUAUAUUGUAUGUAUUUUUAAUUUGGUACAUACUCUGUUGAUUUCAAAGGUAUUUUUAAUAUUCAGAGGUAUGCAUGCAUUAUUUUGUUCCCCUUUUAAUAUAUAUAUUUUUUUGAAACGUUCUCUCCUUGACUAAUAGAGAAUAAAUCCUUGAAUUUUUUCAUUUUGUUUGCAGAUCAUUUUAGUUUCUGUUUUUUGAAGCCAUUUUGCAUCACUCAAUAUAAUACAGGUAAGAGGUCCAAACUCUUCAUUGUUUUGACCAUUUUUUAAUAUGUCUGCUUGGUAAGCGUGUGUCUAUUUGAUGCAACA
Molecule: long non-coding RNA, 311 nt
Filed under: Trifolium pratense (red clover)
Lineage: Eukaryota; Viridiplantae; Streptophyta; Magnoliopsida; Fabales; Fabaceae
Description: long non-coding RNA (TPRA_LNC008761)
Source: RNAcentral